CCUACGGGAGGCUGCAGUGGGGAAUAUUGCACAAUGGGGGAAACCCUGAUGCAGCGACGCCGCGUGGGGGAUGAAGGAUUUCGGUUUGUAAAGCUCUAUUGUUAGAGAAGAUAAUGACGGUAUCUGACUAAUAAGCACCGGCUAACUACGUGCCAGCAGCCGCGGUAAUACGUAGGGGGCAAGCGUUAUUCGGAUUCACUGGGCGUAAAGGGCGCGUAGGCGGGAGAGCAAGUCAGAUGUGAAAACCUGGGGCUUAACCCUGGGAGUGCAUUUGAAACUGUUCAGCUGGAGUGCAGGAGAGGUAAGUGGAAUUCCUAGUGUAGCGGUGAAAUGCGUAGAUAUUAGGAGGAAUACUCGUGGCGAAGGCGGCUUGCUGGAAUGUAACUGACGCUGAGGCUCGAAAGCGUGGGGAGCAAACAGGAUUAGAUACCCUGGUAGUC
RNAcentral lists this ribosomal RNA (440 nucleotides) under uncultured bacterium. RNAcentral describes it as "partial 16S ribosomal RNA". It matches the Rfam family "Bacterial small subunit ribosomal RNA", at positions 338 to 795 of the family's 1533-position model. The record is from RNAcentral.